GCAAACUUUGUGUGAGAGUUAAUCUUGAUUAUCAACUUAACAUGAUCUCGAAUUAACAUGAAGCAAGCUUUGAAUUAUUUAGUUAACUGACCUGGGUAGAAGGCCAAGAAAACCCCUGAGCUUCUGGGACAUUCUCUCCUUUGGGGCAGGCCUCUAUCCUUACUAGUGAGAACGGAUUAGUAAGCGCACCACCAGAUUAGUCAACUGAUUUGGACAACAGAGAGACGUGCUCUUACUGUCUCCCACGGCUCCCCAGCAGGACUGUGUACCUUGCCUUGGUAUAUCUGUGCGGUAUGUGCAGCGCCACGGAGGAUUUUUGAUCACCCAGAACUGGAGUUACAGAGGAAUUUGGCCCGAUCCUCUGGAAGAGCAGUUAAGUGUUCUUAACUGCUGAGCCAUCUCUGCAAUCCAUGAAAGAUGGCAUGGUAUGGAGAGGAGAUGAAGAACAGCUUUUUACCGACCUCCUUAACAGAAUUUCACAAAGGAAGAAGUUACAGUACUGGACCCGCUGACCCAGAAUAGCUCUCAAAACUCAGAAUACCACUCAACCGCAAACAGAAGUUAGCAGUCUGUAUCCACUUGCUGGUUCCAUUUGUUUGGUUCAAGAUUGCUUUCAGCCUGGUGGUGGCUUUCUGCAAAUGACUGCCACAACACACAUCAACCACAAUACACAUCACAUAUACGUACAUGAUUCUGGG
This is a long non-coding RNA of Alexandromys fortis (reed vole), 698 nucleotides long. RefSeq lists it as uncharacterized. Lineage: Eukaryota; Metazoa; Chordata; Mammalia; Rodentia; Cricetidae. The transcript is spliced from 3 exons. The record is from RefSeq and is a predicted model, not a curated record.